Molecule: long non-coding RNA, 556 nt
Filed under: Bos taurus (domestic cattle)
Lineage: Eukaryota; Metazoa; Chordata; Mammalia; Artiodactyla; Bovidae
Description: long non-coding RNA NONBTAT000272
Source: RNAcentral
CCCAUUUUCUUUGUAAGUUUCUAAAUGGAAGUUUUAAAAAGUUAAGCAGUAGUAAAAUAAAUGUUAUAUUAUUUGUACAACAUAUAAUUGUUACUCUUUGGAAUGUGUGAACCUUGUAACAUGCUGACUAAGGGUUAAAAAAAUGUUGCCGAGUUAAGGAAAUUUGCUUGAGAUUGCCAACAUUCCAAAAUUCUGUAAAGAUAAUUUUACAAUCACUUCCAUGUGUUUACUAAUGUUGACUAGGAACAGAAGCAAAAAUACUUACACCCUUUUAAUUUUCACACUCUAACCAGUAUUAUAUAUUUCAACUACCUAAGAUAAUGCAAUUAAUAACAUAUUCAUCUUAAGCUUAUGCCAAUAAGAAUUUGAGAUAAGCUUUUAAAUUUAUGGAGGAUUUUCUUUGUGUCUUUGGAAGUUCACUUACCAUAAGGUAUUUUAUAAUCUACUUUAAAUAACAGAUUUUGUUAUACAGGGUAAGCCAAAGGCUGUACAAGAAUUAGUGUCUGGGUCUGAUAUUUGUGUUAGACCAUGAAAUAUUCCAUUAAAAUUUAUCUGU